Long non-coding RNA from Pseudopodoces humilis (Tibetan ground-tit), 662 nucleotides. RefSeq lists it as uncharacterized. The record is from RefSeq and is a predicted model, not a curated record. NCBI's taxonomy places the organism in Eukaryota, Metazoa, Chordata, Aves, Passeriformes, Paridae.
CCAGGAAGCACAGACAUUUAGAAGGUCCCCGUACAACUCAUGCAAGUAUUUUAUUAACAACAAUUUCUAUUCACAUUUAGACAUCACUUGUGAACAUAAAUUCCGUGGAACUUAUGGAAAAUGAGGAAGGCUAUCAGUCCUCAUGCACACAAUGUGCUCAGGUGAAGAAGAAGCUGACCUGUUGUGGCUGAUUUCAACAGGGAAUUAGGAGACCUUGGUGUAUAAGUCGUCCAAACAAUACCUGACUCACCAUCAAAGUUACACAAAAGCUUGAUUCAUGAAUUAAAACACAUAGUGAAUCUGAUUGUAACGCUGAUCCUCUGUGUGUUCGUAAUUAAACAACCAGUUCCUUUUAUGAAUUGAAACAAAAUUCCUUCUGGGGCAUGGCUGAAGGUUGCAUCUUCCAGAGGGAAAAAGGAAAGGAAAGUGUACCUCAGUACCCACUGCCCCAGGUGUUGAGGCUGACCACAACUGAUCCUUUUGAAGAUGCCACGAGCCCAGAGGGAAUCACAGCCUGCAGGAGACACCCAAAACAAAGAACACAAACAGGUGAAACUUCAGGGUUUGCCCUCUUCACUGCUUAAAGAGCAAAGCAAUGUGGAUGGAUGGAUGACCAGAACUGCACCCUGAAAGUAAUCUGCUCAUGGAAACUGUCCUGGAAU